RNAcentral lists this ribosomal RNA (1356 nucleotides) under uncultured marine eukaryote. RNAcentral's name for it is "SSU rRNA". It matches the Rfam family "Eukaryotic small subunit ribosomal RNA", at positions 411 to 1779 of the family's 1831-position model. The record is from RNAcentral.
CACUUCUAAGGAAGGCAGCAGGCGCGCAAAUUACCCAAUCCUGACUCAGGGAGGUAGUGACAAGAAAUAACAAUAAACCGGCUUAUGCCGGUUUAAUUGGAAUGAGUACAAUUUAAACAUCUUAACGAGGAACAAUUGGAGGGCAAGUCUGGUGCCAGCAGCCGCGGUAAUUCCAGCUCCAAUAGCGUAUACUAAAGUUGUUGCAGUUAAAAAGCUCGUAGUUGGAUUUCUGUGGGGACGGAGCGGCCGGCCGCACAUCGCGGUUCGAGCUAGCGCUUUCCCUACAUCCUGCCGCGAACCGUGCUACCAUUAAUUUGGUGGCGCCGGGGAUCGGCUCGAUUACUUUGAGAAAAAUAGAGCGUUCAAAGCAGGCCACAUGCCUUGAAUAAGUUAGCAUGGAAUAAUAACUAAGGACUUCGGUUCUAUUUUGUUGGUGUUCGGGACUGAAGUAAUGAUUGAUAGGGACAGUUGGGGCGGUCUGUAUUCCAAAGCGAGAGGUGAAAUUCUUAGACCUUCGGAAGACAAACAGCUGCGAAAGCGUUCCGCAAGGAUGUUCCCUUUGAUCAAGAACGAAAGUUGGGGGAUCGAAGACGAUCAGAUACCGUCGUAGUCUCAACUAUAAACUAUACCAGCUAGGGAUCGGCCAACGUUAUUUUAUACCGACUUGGUCGGCACCUUAUGAGAAAUCAAAGCAUCUGGGUUCCGGGGGGAGUAUGGUCGCAAGGCUGAAACUUAAAGGAAUUGACGGAAGGGCACCACCAGCCGUGGAGCCUGUGGCUUAAUUUGACUCAACACGGGAAAACUUACCAGGUCCAGACAUAGUAAGGAUUGACAGAUUGAUAGCUCUUUCUUGAUUCUGUGGGUGGUGGUGCAUGGCCGUUCUUAGUUGGUGGAGUGAUUUGUCUGGUUAAUUCCGUUAACGAACGAGACCCCAGCCUGCUAAAUAGCGCGUGUGAGCUUUGCUCGCAGCGAGCUUCUUAGAGGGACUAUGAUGCGCGAUAGCACAUGGAAGUUUGGGGCAAUAACAGGUCUGUGAUGCCCUUAGAUGUUCUGGGCCGCACACGGGCUACACUGGCGCCUGCAACGAGCAUAUCAGCUGGCCCGAGAGGGUCUUGGCUAAUCUUUUGAACCGGCGCCGUGCUUGGGAUUGACCUUUGCAAUUGUUGGUCAUGCAACGAGGAAUGCCUUGUAAACGCGAGUCAUCAGCUCGCAUUGAAUACGUCCCUGCCCUUUGUACACACCGCCCGUCGCUCCUACCGAUGAAUGUUCCGAUGAAAUUUUCGGAGAGCACCUAUGAACUUGGCUCUGCCUUGCGAACGGGAGGCUCAAAGUCACUUAAAUCUGAACAUUUCGAGG